GUUAAAGUUACGGUAUUGACAAUAAUUAUCUGUUAUGGUUUUAGUUUUGUACUUUCAUAAUAUUUAGAACAUAUUACAUAAAUUUAGAAAAAAAGUGUUUUAUAGGUGACCAGAUUGAAAUGAAUUUCAUUUAACAUAGCAUACUUGCUUGGGAAAAUUAUUCUGUUGACUUCCUGCAAAAGAUAUAAACGAGGUGACCCACGACCCAGUGGGUUUGGCAUCCUUGCUUUUUGGAAUUCAAAUCGCCCUUGCAUGUUGGCAGCAGUGUUUACUAUAUAAAGUUGGGUAGAUGGUUGAUAUGGGUUGGAUUUGGCUCCCUUAAAUUUAUACAUUGAAGCACAAAACUCUAGGACUUCAGAAUGUGAUCCUUAUUUAGAGAGACGAUGGUUACAAAAUUAAUAAAAUUUAAGCAAGGUCAUUAGGGUGGGCCCCAAUCCACUGGGACAGGUUUCCUACAAGAUGAGGGGACUUGAACAAAGAAAUACACAUAGAGGGAAGACAAUUUGAAGAGACAGGAGAAGAAGGCUAUCUGUAAGCCAAGGAGAAAGGCCUACAACAGGCCUGAACUUACAGCUUCCAGAAGAAACUAACUCUGACAACACCUUGUCUCUGACUUCUGCUUUCCAGAACUGUGAGACAAUUGUUGUUUGUGGCACUUUGUUAUAGCAGAACUAGAGAACUAAUAAAAGCGCUUUUGCAAAAGCACAUGCUAUAGACUGACUGGUGGUAGGAAGAAGAAGCAUGUUAAAGAGCAGGGGCCCCCAAGCAAACUUCUGGAAACUGUUAGAUUAUUUUAUAAGGUGGGUAAUCAGUUCUUCUCUUUAUCUGUUUUGUGGAUGAAUACAAAUCCACCCAGACUGAAAAGAAUAAGGAAAGUGGUCAGCGCCAGUCACAGGUUCACCAAGGGCUCCUUAAUUUAUGCUCAUCUGAUGGGGAGGAAUUUUGAAGAAGUACAAUGAAGCCUGAAUUUUUUGUGUCAGUUGUGAAGAGAUUUUAUAACUUCAAAAAAGAUUAUUUAGGGUGCCUGAUUGAGAAGAACAUACGAACACUAAAUUUUACUCCUGGCCCUUGAGAAACUUUAUGUCAUAUUGCAACAGGAUUAUUUUAUACUCUGAAGGAUUAUGAGCGGUACAGAGCAUGAUUAAAUCUUAUUAUUUUAGUGAAGUGCUUAGGGCUUCUAAUUUCUCUCUCUACUUCUCUGAUGCUUUUUCUUUCUAUCUCCUACAAAUUGUGUGGGUGACAGUGCAAAUUUUUUUUCAUCCCUGACUCAUUCUUUUACUUACUUGCUCUUCUGAUUAUAAUGAAAGGUUUUAUUGCAGUUAAAAUGGCAACCAUCCUGAUGGACAAAACAGAUUGAUGUCCAAAUGUUACCUCCCAAAUAGUGAGAAUGUAUUAAUGGUGGAAAUAAAAAAGCCUCAAGACACUGAGUAAGUGAGUCGUGGCUGCGAGGGGCCUGGGCCUGUUGUCAGUCUGUUCCCAUUGAUGUCAUUCCCAAUUCUCUGACCAUUGUAUAAUUUAAAAUUCACUUGGUCAGUGUUUCUCAGCUUGAUUACAACAGUUCCCAGGCUGUGAGGAGUUAAGCCAAAGAAGUUUUUAUUAAUUUUCCUUCUCCCUAAAGACUUUAGGCUUGCUGUUUCAAAGAAAGCUAGAGACCACAAUGAGCCAACUAUUUGGUGAGAAGUUUCUCCUCUGGGAGAGAGCUUUUAGCUGAGAUUCCAGCCUUUCAAAUGUCAAAUGUUACUCAUUCUUGCUUUGGCUCUGAUUAUUCUGGGCAUAGUCAUGACUGGGGAUUUCCGGUUCCAAUGCCUGUUUAUAACUUCAACAACAAAGAAAUUCUUCUGAAUUAUUGGAUCAAAUGCGUAGGAUUUGUUGAGUUUGGCAUGUAAAGGCAAAACGUUUUGCUUUCUGUUUAUGAUCUAUAAAACAACUCUGAAUCUGUUA
Long non-coding RNA from Ictidomys tridecemlineatus (thirteen-lined ground squirrel), 1941 nucleotides. RefSeq lists it as uncharacterized. NCBI's taxonomy places the organism in Eukaryota, Metazoa, Chordata, Mammalia, Rodentia, Sciuridae. The record is from RefSeq and is a predicted model, not a curated record.